This 253-nucleotide ribosomal RNA is filed under the name uncultured bacterium. RNAcentral's name for it is "partial 16S ribosomal RNA". It matches the Rfam family "Bacterial small subunit ribosomal RNA", at positions 524 to 776 of the family's 1533-position model. The record is from RNAcentral.
GACAGAGGGGGCAAGCGUUGCUCGGAAUCACUGGGCGUAAAGGGCGCGUAGGCGGGAUGGCAAGUCGGUCGUGAAAUCCCUGGGCUCAACUCAGGGGGGUCGGCCGAUACUGCCGUUCUUGAGGGAUGCAGAGGAGACUGGAAUUCCCGGUGUAGCGGUGAAAUGUGUAGAGAUCGGGAGGAACACCGGUGGCGAAGGCGGGUCUCUGGGCAUUCCCUGACGCUGAGGAGCGAAAGCGUGGGGAGCAAACAGG